CCCAGAGAUGCCUUCACCUUUACAAGGAGAAUACCUUAAGUCCUGACAGACUGAGCCUCCAGCCGUCCCUCAGAAGCCUGUAUUCAAGGUCGUCUUGUUGCACACUGCACAGCCAACAUGGGCAAUACAUGGGGCGAAUGUUCCAUUGACAUUAAAAAUGAAUCCUCUACCUACGACUUCGGCAACCCCUGUAUACAUAUGGUAAGGGGUCAAUGCUCUAACCCUCUGCCACCGCUGAUUGAGUCAAAUUCAUCUGGCAGUGCACAGUUCGGCAAGACUUACGGCAGUCCUACAGGAACUGUUGGCGUCUUCACUUAUGACAUCAUCAACAAAUCUACAAAAACGACCACUGGGAUAAUUGCUGUCAUGUUCUCUGUGCCCUACGACUAUACCUAUUUCGAUAACUUGUAUGCAGUGGGAAACUUUGGUAAUAGCCAAAAUUGUGAUUAUGAUCUUUAUCGUAAGAUGUACUAUGAAUCACACAGCAGAUUUGUCAGAGGUAAAGCAACUGAUCCCAGUAUCACUCAUACGGGUGAUUAUGUCACCAUCUUUGCAUCAAUGUCGAACGCAGGCCAGUCUGCCCUAAAAGUGGUAGUGAAAGACAAAUGAAAUAAGAGAAUUGGAAAGUGCUAAAAAGUAGAUUACCCUGCAGCACAUUCUGCUUUUAUAGCUAAUACAUAGUCAAUGUGUAGUCAUUUUGGAUAAUUUUGUUCAGGGCAAAAAUAAUUAGGAAUGCGUGCUUAAGAUGUUUUCAUUGCUUUACAAUAUUAUUCCACUGUUUUGUUUAAUGUGUAGAAACUGUAGUAGAGCUGUUGAUUGUCCUUCGAAAGAAAAAGAUGAUGCAUUUGAUGGAUUAGUUACACGUGAGUAACAAGUAAUUAUGUCAUGCCAAAAAGUUUAAUAAAGCUUUCAAAAGUA
Molecule: long non-coding RNA, 918 nt
Organism: Perca fluviatilis (European perch)
Lineage: Eukaryota; Metazoa; Chordata; Actinopteri; Perciformes; Percidae
Exons: 3
Source: RefSeq, a predicted model, not a curated record